This 125-nucleotide non-coding RNA is filed under the name Fragilariopsis kerguelensis. The record is from RNAcentral. Lineage: Eukaryota; Bacillariophyta; Bacillariophyceae; Bacillariales; Bacillariaceae.
UCUGACACAACAAACCAACCAACCCACCAUACAGACAAAACCAACCACACACAUCACAUCACAGCUCUACACAUACCUCAUCCGCCAAAAUACCAUGCAAGCCCUUUUCGGCGAGAGAUAGAUCA